This is a long non-coding RNA of Maniola jurtina (meadow brown), 168 nucleotides long. RefSeq lists it as uncharacterized. The record is from RefSeq and is a predicted model, not a curated record. The transcript is spliced from 3 exons. NCBI's taxonomy places the organism in Eukaryota, Metazoa, Arthropoda, Insecta, Lepidoptera, Nymphalidae.
UAUCUCCCAAAACCACCAUGAUCCAAACUUCAUAGUCGCUGAUCGUUUGUGCCUGUGUUGGGGACAAUACGCAGAGAAACUUUCAGCUUUUAUAAAAUUACGAAGGUCUGGUACGCGCUGGCUCUUGGUCCAUUACAUGACUGUUUUUAAAAUUCCCGUACAUUACAU